Molecule: non-coding RNA, 21 nt
Filed under: Caenorhabditis elegans
Lineage: Eukaryota; Metazoa; Nematoda; Chromadorea; Rhabditida; Rhabditidae
Source: RNAcentral
UUUUUUUUUCGCCAUGUUCUU